ACACACACAUAUGUAUGUCCAUAUAUAUAUUUAUAUAUUGUAUGUAUUGAGCAUGAUGGUUCUAAAAGCAUUUUUGUCUGACUUGCACUUGAGCAAUUUGAUGGAUUAGCCGCCUCCGUGCCUUCCGUAAAAUGAUGCCGCGGCCAUUGAGCCCACACAGGAGUCCUCCACUUGCUUGAGCACCAGCUUGCUUCUGCCCUCACCCCACUUGGAUUCACCAACAGUUAAUGUGCUUAUCCUGUUGUUCAGAAUAAGUGGGUAUGAUGGCUGGUCCUCAAUGAAGAGUGGCAGGUGCCGCUUCCAAGGAACCUGACAUAAUGGAAAAUUGGGCAACGACGACUGAUCCAGAAAAAUGCUCAGUAAACAUGAAGAUGCUGAACUUUUUUUAGUAAUUGGGGAAAAAACACCAAAAGUGGAUCUUUUGCUGA
Molecule: non-coding RNA, 428 nt
Organism: Callorhinus ursinus (northern fur seal)
Lineage: Eukaryota; Metazoa; Chordata; Mammalia; Carnivora; Otariidae
Source: RefSeq, a predicted model, not a curated record